Molecule: ribosomal RNA, 253 nt
Filed under: uncultured prokaryote
Description: partial 16S ribosomal RNA
Rfam family: Bacterial small subunit ribosomal RNA
Source: RNAcentral
GACAGAGGGGGCAAGCGUUGCUCGGAAUUACUGGGCGUAAAGCGUGCGCAGGCGGCGCGUUAAGACAGGUGUGAAAGCCCCGAGCUUAACUUGGGAAUUGCGCUUGUGACUGGCGUGCUGGAGUGUGGCAGAGGGAGGUGGAAUUCCACGUGUAGCAGUGAAAUGCGUAGAUAUCGGGAGGAACACCUGUGGCGAAAGCGGCGCACUGGACCACAACUGACGCUGAGGCGCGAAAGCUAGGGGGGCAAACAGG